AAAACUCUACCGUUUGACACGAGAAUCACUGCAGAUUAGGCAGGACUGGCCCGGUUACUAGGGAAAACCUUGGGUGAGACAAUUAUUAUUUUAUAACACAACAAUAACCGACUUUACUUAAAUAAAAAAUUAAAAAUAAACUUAGACUAAAAGUAAGUGUUUCAAUCUCACUCCCCACAAACCAUGUUGGUGUGAUGUGCAAAGUUCAAAGUAUAAUUCAUGAAUUGGUGUCUAAGCAACGAUAAAUAGAAAGGACUCUACGUGGGAUUAAUCUUUACCAUGUCCAUUUGUUCUAACGUUUAAAAUAAUCUAUGGAUAUUAACUUAAAAAGAAUGAAAAUUCUUAACUGACAUAAAAAAAAUAAAAGCCUAAAAUUUACUUUCCCACCCCCAAACUUAAAUCACACGUUGUCCUCAAGGUGUGGAAAAUAAACAAAAGAAAACAAAAAUAUUAAAACCUUGAAAACGUAAAAUACCAAACAUAGACAGAGAAAAUAAACUAGGAAAACAGAAAUAGAAAAUAAAAGAAAGAAACAAUAAAAGAAAGUAUAAAAUAACAAAGAAAAUAGAAAAUAAAAGAAAAGACAAGGAAAUGGAGACACCUGGGAUUUGAAGUGGUGACCUAGUGCAAAGAGAAUAUGCGUUGGAAAAAUAAUAAAAAAGAAAGCACUAAUUCACUGAUUUGGAGACUCGAACUCGAACCUGUGGUCUGAACAAAACUAGGAGCGUUGAUGCCAAUGCGAAGCUCUACCCGUGUAGUGUUCACGUGGGAAAACCUUAACAAUUCCCCAUAUAAAUUAAGGUUUAGCAUUCAUUUUCGCCCUUUCUUUCUAGCAUUUCACCUCGAGCCCAAAGCCGUGGGGGUUCUCUCCAUCUUAUUCUCAAACCUUAGCCUAUCUCAGCGCUUCAUUUCUAUACCAUCUCACAAAAUUAAAACUACGGCGGACCUCUCGAAUCAAAGAUGACCCUAGCCGUCAGAUUGUACUGCCCCAUGGAAAUGUCGACUGUUCCGAGGCUCAGAAACUCAAAAUCCCAGCAAUCAUAAAGGUAAUUGUUCUUCCCGGUAUAUCUGAUUUUCAUGAGCGUGCUUCAAAAUGCAGGUCAGAAAGAAAACAAGGAAAAAUUAUCUCAUGCAUAUGUGUGCUAUCUGUGCAGGAGUCCUGGAAGCGACUGUGAUAGCAAAGACGAAGAACAUGAAGGACAGCAAACCUGAGAUCCGGUGGAUAAGAAACCGGUAGAUUUCACGAGAUCCUCAGAUUUGGAAUUAAAUAGGUAUAAAACAUGCUUCAUUCACUGUAUUGGCUGGGAUUUCUUCAUAGCAUUAGGAUGAUGGCCCACCUGGAACUCUGAUAAUUGUAGUUCGCCUCUGUAAAUUUUUGUCUGCGCAUGCAUCCAUAGAUCUACUAUACUUAUGCCAUGUAUUUGUUGUGCUUGCAUGCCUCCAUUAAAUGAAUGUUUAGCAAAAACAUAGCAUAAAUCUGGAUCUAAAUGCUGGAGUUGACAAAUGCCUUCCUCUAUGUUGCUUGGUCCACCCCCAAACUUGUAUGUAAUGGAAUUUGUAAGUGAGAGAUAGUGAGUAUUUCAGAACUGAUUUUCAUCCGUUGAGGUCUGAUGAAUGUGGAUAAAUGAAUGCUGCUGAAAGCAUGAUUCAGUUGAAUUUUGCGCACUUAAUGGAUAUUUAGGGCCCUUCGAGCCCAAAUGCAACCUGCAAAAAACACAGAUUAAAAAUCUAAUUAGAGUAAAUCCCAAAAUAAAAUACUGAUUAACAAAAAACAAUUGUUGUUUUUGUGUUUUUCAGUUUUCUGAUUUUUUUUUUUUUUUUUUUUUUUUGUGAUAAAGACUAGAAGGAAGAAAAUAAAAUGAAUGAAAAUAAAAAGAAAAGAGUUAGAAAAAUUGUGUUGCCUCCCAAUAAGUGUUGUAGUUAAUGUCUAUAGCUAGAUGUAGAGGAAUGAAUUGAUGAUCACGUCACUUGUUCUCUUAUAAUCAACCACUCCUUGAUAGCAUCAUACAACAACAGUAAGUACAGAAUGAGAUGAUGUUUGUCAAUUAUGUGUUUCAGGGAAGUGGUUGAAUCCUUCAUAUUAACCCUUCUAUGUGAAUGAAAUAUUAUAAUAAAAUAGGAUCCCUUCCAGCAACGUUUACGUCUUCAUCAAACUGACUUAAACCUUGUAUUUAACACCCACAAUUUCUGCAUUGGCCAAAUUUCUUGAAAAAGAAUUAGGUUGCCAUUAAGCUUUUUCUUUGUUUCCUUGUGGAUCAUAGUUUGCUUGUAUGACUUGCCUAGAUUUUCUUUAAAUUUGAAUGCUUGUACUGCUGGACCGUCCAAUUCAGCAACAUAAAUUGUAUCAGUAGUCAUCUGCCCUGUCUCCAACAGUGUGUUAGAGAGCUGAUCAUGCGACAUCUUAGAUGUUGAAUUUGUGUGAACCCCCCCUAACAUAUUAACACUCAUGUCUUCCUGCAGGCUUUGUGGGAAAGGUUUUGGUGACACAUGAACAUGGGUAGCACUCGGUUCUGGUGGGAUUAUAUGAUCAGCAUGUGCUACUUUCUCCCCUGGACGUGAAUGGAUGGCAGAUUGCUCUUCAAUUCAUGCACCAAUCUCCUCUUGAUCAUUAAAGCUCUUCCCAUAGUUUAAUGCUUGAAUCAGAGAUCCUUCAUUGGUUAUUUCAAUGUAUAAGUCAGUUAAUUCCAACAAUUUAGAGAGCUUGUCCUCCACUGAAAGCUCUUGUGGCACAUUAAGCUGCUCAAAAUACUGCCCAAGAUGCUCUUUCAAACUUUGAGUGUAGAACUCUGAAUGGGGAUUAUUCCAGUUCCAUUUUGAAUCGUUUCUCAUAUAUAUAUAUAUAUAUA
Molecule: long non-coding RNA, 2846 nt
Filed under: Malus domestica (apple)
Lineage: Eukaryota; Viridiplantae; Streptophyta; Magnoliopsida; Rosales; Rosaceae
Description: long non-coding RNA (MDOM_LNC013888)
Source: RNAcentral